This is a non-coding RNA of Bos taurus (domestic cattle), 72 nucleotides long. The record is from Rfam. Lineage: Eukaryota; Metazoa; Chordata; Mammalia; Artiodactyla; Bovidae.
UCCCUGGUGGCUCAGACAGUAAAGAAUCCACCUGUAAUGUGGGAGACCUGGGUUUGAUCCCUGGCUUGGGAA